Molecule: ribosomal RNA, 719 nt
Filed under: uncultured Enterobacteriaceae bacterium
Lineage: Bacteria; Pseudomonadati; Pseudomonadota; Gammaproteobacteria; Enterobacterales; Enterobacteriaceae
Description: bacterial SSU rRNA
Rfam family: Bacterial small subunit ribosomal RNA
Source: RNAcentral
GAAUAACGUCGACAGAAUGCUUAACACAUGCAAGUCAACGUGUACUUAGGUAUGGGUGGCGGACGGGUGAGUAACGCGUAAAGAACUUGCCUCACAGUUAGUGACAACAUUUGGAAACGAAUGACAAUACUUGAUAUUAUGAUUUUAGGGCAUCCUAGAAUUAUGAUAGCUAUAUGCGCUGUGAGAGAGCUCUGCGUCCCAUAAGCUAGUCGGAGAGGUAACGGCUCACCAAGGCGACGAUCAGUAGCUGGUCUGAGAGGAUGAUCAGCCACAUUGGGAAUGAGACACGGCCCAAACUCUUACGGGAGGCAGCAGUGGGGAAUCUUGCGCAAUGGGCGAAAGCCUGACGCAGCCAUGCCGCGUGAAUGAUGAAGGUCUUAGGAUUGUAAAAUUCUUUCACCGGGGACGAUAAUGACGGUACCCGGAGAAGAAGCCCCGGCUAACUUCGUGCCAGCAGCCGCGGUAAUACGAAGGGGGCCAGCGUUGCUUGGAAUUACUGGGCGUAAAGGGAGCGUAGGCGGACAUUUAAGUCAGGGGUGAAAUCCCGGGGCUCAACCUCGGAAUUGCCUUUGAUACUGGGUGUCUUGAGUAUGAGAGAGGUGUGUGGAACUCCGAGUGUAGAGGUGAAAUUCGUAGAUAUUCGGAAGAACACCAGUGGUGAAGGCGACACACUGGCUCAUUACUGACGCUGAGGCUCGAAAGCGUGGGGAGCAAACAGG